UAACUUACAUCUAUAAACGCCAGGGAAUUACGAGCUACGCUUAAAACCCAAAGGAUUUGACGGUGUCCCACCCACCUAGAGGAGCCUGUUCUAUAAUCGAUAAUACCCGCUAUACCCAACCACCUCUUGCUAUUCAGUCUGUAUACCUCCGUCGAAAGCUUACCAUGUGAACGCCUACAGUGAGUACAAUUACCCCCAACGUCAACACGUCAGGUCAAGGUGCAGCUUAAGGGGUGGAAAGAAAUGGGCUACAAUUUCUAAUCUAGAACAAACGAAAGACUAUGUGAAAUCAUGGUACUGAAGGCGGAUUUAGCAGUAAAAAGAAAAUAGAGCGUUCUUUUUAACMUGGCUCUGGGACGCGUACACACCGCCCGUCAC
This 378-nucleotide ribosomal RNA is filed under the name Odorrana graminea (large odorous frog). RNAcentral's name for it is "partial 12S ribosomal RNA". It matches the Rfam family "Bacterial small subunit ribosomal RNA", at positions 875 to 1400 of the family's 1533-position model. Lineage: Eukaryota; Metazoa; Chordata; Amphibia; Anura; Ranidae. The record is from RNAcentral.